UUUGUAACUUACUUUGAGCUGGAGAUGUUUCUCAUGGUUCGUUUUUACAAUCAUGACAAUGGUAAACUUAAUUUCUUUCUUCUUAAAAGAUGUAAUUUCUGAUUGUCUCUCCAAGUUCAAACAUGUGCCUUUCUUAACCAUCAUACGGCACAUAGAGGAACUUGGAAAAAAGCACAGAUUAAUGACAAUUCAUUCUUUCCCAAACAUUGCAGACC
This 215-nucleotide long non-coding RNA is filed under the name Mytilus galloprovincialis (Mediterranean mussel). Lineage: Eukaryota; Metazoa; Mollusca; Bivalvia; Mytilida; Mytilidae. The record is from RNAcentral.